This 745-nucleotide ribosomal RNA is filed under the name uncultured Streptomyces sp. RNAcentral's name for it is "bacterial SSU rRNA". It matches the Rfam family "Bacterial small subunit ribosomal RNA", at positions 42 to 803 of the family's 1533-position model. Lineage: Bacteria; Bacillati; Actinomycetota; Actinomycetes; Kitasatosporales; Streptomycetaceae. The record is from RNAcentral.
GCGCGUGCUUACACAUGCAAGUCGAACGAUGAAGCCCUUCGGGGUGGAUUAGUGGCGAACGGGUGAGUAACACGUGGGCAAUCUGCCCUGCACUCUGGGACAAGCCCUGGAAACGGGGUCUAAUACCGGAUAUGACUGUCCACCGCAUGGUGGAUGGUGUAAAGCUCCGGCGGUGCAGGAUGAGCCCGCGGCCUAUCAGCUAGUUGGUGAGGUAGUGGCUCACCAAGGCGACGACGGGUAGCCGGCCUGAGAGGGCGACCGGCCACACUGGGACUGAGACACGGCCCAGACUCCUACGGGAGGCAGCAGUGGGGAAUAUUGCACAAUGGGCGAAAGCCUGAUGCAGCGACGCCGCGUGAGGGAUGACGGCCUUCGGGUUGUAAACCUCUUUCAGCAGGGAAGAAGCGAAAGUGACGGUACCUGCAGAAGAAGCGCCGGCUAACUACGUGCCAGCAGCCGCGGUAAUACGUAGGGCGCAAGCGUUGUCCGGAAUUAUUGGGCGUAAAGAGCUCGUAGGCGGCUUGUCACGUCGGUUGUGAAAGCCCGGGGCUUAACCCCGGGUCUGCAGUCGAUACGGGCAGGCUAGAGUUCGGUAGGGGAGAUCGGAAUUCCUGGUGUAGCGGUGAAAUGCGCAGAUAUCAGGAGGAACACCGGUGGCGAAGGCGGAUCUCUGGGCCGAUACUGACGCUGAGGAGCGAAAGCGUGGGGAGCGAACAGGAUUAGAUACCCUGGUAGUCCACGCCGU